RNAcentral lists this transfer RNA (85 nucleotides) under Felis catus (domestic cat). It matches the Rfam family "tRNA". Rfam says of the family: Transfer RNA (tRNA) molecules are approximately 80 nucleotides in length. Their secondary structure includes four short double-helical elements and three loops (D, anti-codon, and T loops). RNAcentral also lists the same sequence under 2 other names. The record is from Rfam by way of RNAcentral. Lineage: Eukaryota; Metazoa; Chordata; Mammalia; Carnivora; Felidae.
GCCUGAGUGGCUCAGUUGGUUGAGCGUCUGACUUCGGCUCAGGUCAUGAUCUCAGGGCUCAGGGGUUCAAGCCCCGCGUCGGGCU